CAGGUACUGGAGGACCGAACCCACUAGUGUUGCAAAACUAGGGGAUGAGCUGUGGAUAGGGGUGAAAGGCUAAACAAACUUGGAAAUAGCUGGUUCUCUCCGAAAACUAUUUAGGUAGUGCCUCACGUAUCACUCUCGGGGGUAGAGCACUGUCAUGGCUAGGGGGUCAUCGCGACUUACCAAACCAUAGCAAACUCCGAAUACCGAGAAGUGCGAGCGUGGGAGACAGACAUCGGGUGCUAACGUCCGGUGUCAAGAGGGAAACAACCCAGACCGCCAGCUAAGGUCCCAAAUGACGUGCUAAGUGGUAAACGAAGUGGGAAGGCAUAGACAGCCAGGAUGUUGGCUUAGAAGCAGCCAUCAUUUAAAGAAAGCGUAAUAGCUCACUGGUCGAGUCGUCCUGCGCGGAAGAUGUAACGGG
RNAcentral lists this ribosomal RNA (421 nucleotides) under uncultured bacterium. Its description in RNAcentral is "bacterial LSU rRNA". It matches the Rfam family "Bacterial large subunit ribosomal RNA", at positions 760 to 1179 of the family's 2925-position model. The record is from RNAcentral.